GAUGAACGCUGGCGGCGUGCCUAAUACAUGCAAGUCGAGCGAACGGACGAGAAGCUUGCUUUUCUGAUGUUAGCGGCGGACGGGUGAGUAACACGUGGAUAACCUACCUAUAAGACUGGGAUAACUUCGGGAAACAGGAGCUAAUACCGGAUAAUAUUUUGAACCGCAUGGUUCAAAAGUGAAAGACGGUCUUGCUGUCACUUAUAGAUAGAUCCGCGCUGCAUUAGCUAGUUGGUAAGGUAACGGCUUACCAAGGCAACGAUGCAUAGCCGACCUGAGAGGGUGAUCGGCCACACUGGAACUGAGACACGGUCCAGACUCCUACGGGAGGCAGCAGUAGGGAAUCUUCCGCAAUGGGCGAAAGCCUGACGGAGCAACGCCGCGUGAGUGAUGAAGGUCUUCGGAUCGUAAAACUCUGUUAUUAGGGAAGAACAUAUGUGUAAGUAACUGUGCACAUCUUGACGGUACCUAAUCAGAAAGCCACGGCUAACUACGUG
Molecule: ribosomal RNA, 497 nt
Filed under: uncultured bacterium
Lineage: Bacteria
Description: partial 16S ribosomal RNA
Rfam family: Bacterial small subunit ribosomal RNA
Source: RNAcentral